Molecule: ribosomal RNA, 253 nt
Filed under: uncultured bacterium
Lineage: Bacteria
Description: partial 16S ribosomal RNA
Rfam family: Bacterial small subunit ribosomal RNA
Source: RNAcentral
UACGUAGGGUGCAAGCGUUAAUCGGAAUUACUGGGCGUAAAGAGCUCGUAGGCGGUUUGUCGCGUCUGCUGUGAAAACCCGAGGCUCAACCUCGGGCCUGCAGUGGGUACGGGCAGACUAGAGUGCGGUAGGGGAGAUUGGAAUUCCUGGUGUAGCGGUGGAAUGCGCAGAUAUCAGGAGGAACACCAAUGGCGAAGGCAGAUCUCUGGGCCGUAACUGACGCUGAGGAGCGAAAGCAUGGGGAGCGAACAGG